CUCCUACGGGAGGCAGCAGUAGGGAAUCUUCCACAAUGGACGCAAGUCUGAUGGAGCAACGCCGCGUGAGUGAAGAAGGUUUUCGGAUCGUAAAGCUCUGUUGUUGGUGAAGAAAGAUAGUGAGAGUAACUGCUCAUUAUUUGCCGGUAAUCGCCAGAAAGUCGCGGCUAACUACGUGCCAGCGCCGCGGUAAUCGA
Molecule: ribosomal RNA, 197 nt
Filed under: uncultured bacterium
Lineage: Bacteria
Description: partial 16S ribosomal RNA
Rfam family: Bacterial small subunit ribosomal RNA
Source: RNAcentral